Molecule: ribosomal RNA, 800 nt
Filed under: uncultured bacterium
Lineage: Bacteria
Description: bacterial SSU rRNA
Rfam family: Bacterial small subunit ribosomal RNA
Source: RNAcentral
CGAGCGAGACGGGGGGCACCCCUUAGGUAGCGGCACACGGGUCAGUAAUGCGUGGAUAACUUGCCCUUGAGACUGGGAUAACGGCGGGAAACUGCCGCUAAUACCGGAUGGCCUCGCGGACCGGCAUCGGACUGCGAGUAAAGGUGGGGACCGAAAGGCCUGCUGCUCGAGGAGGGGUUCACGACCUAUCAGCUAGUUGGUGAGGUAACGGCCCACCAAGGCGACGACGGGUAGGCGGGCUGAGAGGCUGACCGCCGACACUGGGACUGAGAACUGCCCAGACUCCUACGGGAGGCUGCAGUCGAGAAUCUUCCACAAUGGACGCAAGUCUGAUGGAGCGACGCCGCGUGUGGGAUGAAGGUCUUUGGAUUGUAAACCACUGUCACGCGUUAUGAAUGCGCAGCAGUCAAUACCUGCUGCGUUGACAAAGGCGCGAGAGGAAGUCACGGCUAACUCUGUGCCAGCAGCCGCGGUAAUACAGAGGUGGCAAGCGUUGCUCGGUAUCACUGGGCUUAAAGGGCGCGUAGGCGGUGCGGUGCGGUUUCGGUGAAAUCCCUCGGCCCAACCGAGGAACAGCCGGGGCUACGGCCGCGCUAGACGGCAUCAGGGGACAGUGGAACUUCCGGUGGAGCGGUGAAAUGCGUAGAUAUCGGAAGGAACGCCAGUGGCGAAAGCGACUGUCUGGGGUGCCUGUGACGCUGAGGCGCGAAAGCCAGGGGAUCAAACGGGAUUAGAUACCCCGGUAGUCCUGGCCCUAAACGAUGCGCACUAGGUAGCGGGAGGUUCCGACUUCCCGCUGC